Molecule: ribosomal RNA, 460 nt
Filed under: uncultured bacterium
Lineage: Bacteria
Description: partial 16S ribosomal RNA
Rfam family: Bacterial small subunit ribosomal RNA
Source: RNAcentral
CCUACGGGCGGCAGCAGUGAGGAAUAUUGGUCAAUGGACGAGAGUCUGAACCAGCCAAGUAGCGUGAAGGAAGACUGCUCUAUGGGUUGUAAACUUCUUUUAUAAAGGAAUAAAACGAGGCACGUGUGCCAUUUUGCAUGUACUUUAUGAAUCAGGAGCGGCUAACUCCGUGCCAGCAGCCGCGGUAAUACGGAGGAUCCGAGCGUUACCUGGAUGUAUUGGGUUGAAAGGGAGCGUAGAUGGGUUGUUAAGACGGUUGUGAAAGUUUGCGGCUCAACCGUAAAAGUGCAAUUGAUACUGGCAGUCUUGAGUACAGUUGGGGUAGGCGGAAUUCGUGGUGUAGCGGUGAAAUGCUUAGAUAUCACGAAGAACCCUGAUUGCGAAGGCAGCUUCCUAAACUGUGACUGACAUUGAUGCUCGAAAGUGAGGGUAGCGAACGGGAUUAGAUACCCGAGUAGUC